GAGAGCACAGUACGAUGAAAGUGGUGAACUGUGUUCGAGGGGGAUUUAUUGUAUAUUGUUGGCCUCUAUGAUAGAAUCAGUCGGGGAGGCCUGAGAGACUAUGGUUUACCCUAU
Picea glauca (white spruce) is the source of this 114-nucleotide non-coding RNA. The record is from Rfam. Lineage: Eukaryota; Viridiplantae; Streptophyta; Pinopsida; Pinales; Pinaceae.